This 73-nucleotide transfer RNA is filed under the name Lapidilactobacillus dextrinicus. RNAcentral's name for it is "tRNA-Thr". It matches the Rfam family "tRNA". Rfam says of the family: Transfer RNA (tRNA) molecules are approximately 80 nucleotides in length. Their secondary structure includes four short double-helical elements and three loops (D, anti-codon, and T loops). Further hydrogen bonds mediate the characteristic L-shaped molecular structure. tRNAs have two regions of fundamental functional importance: the anti-codon, which is responsible for specific mRNA codon recognition, and the 3' end, to which the tRNAs corresponding amino acid is attached (by aminoacyl-tRNA synthetases). tRNAs cope with the degeneracy of the genetic code in two manners: having more than one tRNA (with a specific anti-codon) for a particular amino acid; and 'wobble' base-pairing, i.e. permitting non-standard base-pairing at the 3rd anti-codon position. Lineage: Bacteria; Bacillati; Bacillota; Bacilli; Lactobacillales; Lactobacillaceae. RNAcentral also lists the same sequence under 1 other name. The record is from RNAcentral.
GCCGUCUUAGCUCAGUAGGUAGAGCGCAUCCAUGGUAAGGAUGAGGUCGGCGGUUCGAAUCCGCUAGACGGCU